GGAUGAACGCUAGCUACAGGCUUAACACAUGCAAGUCGAGGGGAAACGAUAUUGGAAGCUUGCUUCCGAUAGGCGUCGACCGGCGCACGGGUGAGUAACGCGUAUCCAACCUGCCCACCACUUGGGGAUAACCUUGCGAAAGUAAGACUAAUACCCAAUGACGUCUCUAGAGGACAUCUGAAAGAGAUUAAAGAUUUAUCGGUGAUGGAUGGGGAUGCGUCUGAUUAGCUUGUUGGCGGGGUAACGGCCCACCAAGGCAACGAUCAGUAGGGGUUCUGAGAGGAAGGUCCCCCACAUUGGAACUGAGACACGGUCCAAACUCCUACGGGAGGCAGCAGUGAGGAAUAUUGGUCAAUGGGCGAGAGCCUGAACCAGCCAAGUAGCGUGCAGGAUGACGGCCCUAUGGGUUGUAAACUGCUUUUAUAAGGGAAUAAAGUGAGUCUCGUGAGACUUUUUGCAUGUACCUUAUGAAUAAGGACCGGCUAAUUCCGUGCCAGCAGCCGCGGUAAUACGGAAGGUCCGGGCGUUAUCCGGAUUUAUUGGGUUUAAAGGGAGCGUAGGCCGGAGAUUAAGCGUGUUGUGAAAUGUAGACGCUCAACGUCUGCACUGCAGCGCGAACUGGUUUCCUUGAGUACGCACAAAGUGGGCGGAAUUCGUGGUGUAGCGGUGAAAUGCUUAGAUAUCACGAAGAACUCCGAUUGCGAAGGCAGCUCACUGGAGCGCAACUGACGCUGAAGCUCGAAAGUGCGGGUAUCGAACAGGAUUAGAUACCCUGGUAGUCCGCACGGUAAACGAUGGAUGCCCGCUGUUGGUCUGAAUAGGUCAGCGGCCAAGCGAAAGCAUUAAGCAUCCCACCUGGGGAGUACGCCGGCAACGGUGAAACUCAAAGGAAUUGACGGAAGGG
This 904-nucleotide ribosomal RNA is filed under the name uncultured bacterium. RNAcentral describes it as "bacterial SSU rRNA". It matches the Rfam family "Bacterial small subunit ribosomal RNA", at positions 27 to 921 of the family's 1533-position model. The record is from RNAcentral.